UUGACUCUCACACUGAAGAGGAAAUGACCCAGCAGCUGGGUAGGCUUAGUUGCUGGUUGCAAUCAGUUCACAUGUAAUGAAAAUACCUUCUAGUCCUGCACCACUACAAACUUGUGCUGUAAGCAUUCAGACAGCUGCCACAUAGAACACACUGAGAGGUUCAGCCAUCUUCAGGUAUUGAUUCACACUAUAGUCGACAUCCUACACUACAGAAACAACAGAACAAACAUUGUCAGCAGAUCAGCUGAAGUUUGUCAUGGUUCCUGUUGCUUCUUGUAAUGCUGUUUCAUACCACGAGGCUUUAUGAGAAAUCUGCAGGUCCUGAGUGUGUACUGUGGUACUGUGUACCUUUGCUACUCUGAGCAGUUCUGGCUGAGAAUUUCUGGAUGCAUCAUGAUGGAAUGCAAGCCGUGGAAG
This is a long non-coding RNA of Poecile atricapillus (Black-capped chickadee), 417 nucleotides long. RefSeq lists it as uncharacterized. The transcript has 3 exons. The record is from RefSeq and is a predicted model, not a curated record. Lineage: Eukaryota; Metazoa; Chordata; Aves; Passeriformes; Paridae.